Molecule: ribosomal RNA, 418 nt
Filed under: Hallodapus albofasciatus
Lineage: Eukaryota; Metazoa; Arthropoda; Insecta; Hemiptera; Miridae
Description: partial large subunit ribosomal RNA
Rfam family: Bacterial large subunit ribosomal RNA (bases 292-418)
Source: RNAcentral
GUCUUUUAAUUGAAGUCUGGUAUGAAUGGUUCGAUGAAAAAUUUACUUUCUUUAUUUUAUAAAAAAAAAUUAAUGUUUAGAUUAAAAAUUCUAAAUUUUAUUAAAGGACGAGAAGACCCUAUAAAACUUUUAUUAUUUCUUUUUAUCAAAAUUAUUUUGAUAAUUUAUUUUUGAUAAUAAGGAUACUUUGGUUGGGAGGACAGAUAAAAUUGUUUAACUUUUUUUAAUUAUUUCAUUUAUAGAUGAAUAUUUGAUCCCUUUUUAUGGAAAAAAAGAUAAAGUUACUUUAGGGAUAACAGCGUUAUUAUUCUGGAGAGUUCAUAUUGAUAGAAUAGUUUGCGACCUCGAUGUUGGAUUAAAAUUAGUAAUGGGGGUAGAUUAUCAUUAUCUAGGUCUGUUCGACCUUUAAAUUUUUACA